AGCAAUUGCAUGAGAAGCAAUUUGAGAGUCUUGAGAAAUCUUCUACUUGAGUGCUCUAGUGAGGAUCCAUUUAGGUGUAUUGAGUUUUUGGGUUUUGAGAGUUUUUCCCAAUUUUGUAAAUUCUCAUUUGUUAGUAAAAUUAUCUUCCAAUUUUUAUUCGUAGAUGUAGGCUUUACGUCACAUUUAUAUUUCUCUAAAAGUCGCAGUCACCAUAAUAUUGGUAAUUGCUCAACUCGUGCUUCUGCAACAAUGUCAUCAUUGGCUCAACUGGGGGAAUUAAAAUUAAGUGGUGCCACGACGUGCAAGACAUUGCCUUCUGAAGUAAAA
RNAcentral lists this long non-coding RNA (327 nucleotides) under Citrus maxima (pomelo). RNAcentral describes it as "long non-coding RNA (CMAX_LNC000078)". The record is from RNAcentral. Lineage: Eukaryota; Viridiplantae; Streptophyta; Magnoliopsida; Sapindales; Rutaceae.